RNAcentral lists this ribosomal RNA (372 nucleotides) under uncultured organism. RNAcentral describes it as "bacterial SSU rRNA". It matches the Rfam family "Bacterial small subunit ribosomal RNA", at positions 526 to 896 of the family's 1533-position model. The record is from RNAcentral.
CGUAGGGUGCGAGCGUUAAUCGGAAUUACUGGGCGUAAAGCGUGCGCAGGCGGCGCCGCAAGUCAGGCGUGAAAUCCCCGAGCUUAACUUGGGAACGGCGCUUGAAACUACGGUGCUGGAGUGUGGCAGAGGGAGGUGGAAUUCCACGUGUAGCGGUGAAAUGCGUAGAGAUGUGGAGGAACACCGAUGGCGAAGGCAGCCUCCUGGGCCAACACUGACGCUCAUGCACGAAAGCGUGGGGAGCAAACAGGAUUAGAUACCCUGGUAGUCCACGCCCUAAACGAUGAUGACUAGUUGUUGGGGGAGUUAAAUCCCUUAGUAACGCAGCUAACGCGUGAAGUCAUCCGCCUGGGGAGUACGGUCGCAAGAUUA